GUUGUAUAUAAAAAGUGUAUUACGUUAGAUCAUCCCAUAACCAUCUCCAAUACGAAGUGUGCAGCUUUACGGAUGGUUCAGAAGAUGCCUAGAGAUUACUAUUUUGUUUAUAGUAGUCCACAAUUCAACAUGUGUCAGCGUUACAGACCCUUUUGUGUUAUGUGAUCUGUAGAAUCCCAUGGAGAUUUCCUGAGCACACCCUAAAACUGACUUUGAGGAAGAGAUCUGAAAUGCUUUGGAAGGAGCUGCUAAUCGCCUCAAUGACCAGAUUAGAGGACAUAUACAUACCAUCUGUGUCAUAUUAGGUCUCAAGUAAAGUCUUGUUUAAAGUAA
This 333-nucleotide long non-coding RNA is filed under the name Numida meleagris (helmeted guineafowl). RNAcentral's name for it is "lncRNA (ENSNMEG00000000442.1)". Lineage: Eukaryota; Metazoa; Chordata; Aves; Galliformes; Numididae. The record is from RNAcentral.